Molecule: ribosomal RNA, 378 nt
Filed under: uncultured methanogenic archaeon
Lineage: Archaea; Methanobacteriati; Methanobacteriota
Description: bacterial SSU rRNA
Rfam family: Archaeal small subunit ribosomal RNA
Source: RNAcentral
UUAUUGAGUCUAAAGCGUUCGUAGCCGGUCCGUUAAAUCCUUGGGUAAAUCGGGAAGCUCAACUUUCCGACUUCCGAGGAGACUGGCGGACUUGGGACCGGGAGAGGCCAGAGGUACUUCUGGGGUAGGGGUAAAAUCCUGUAAUCCUAGAAGGACCACCGGUGGCGAAGGCGUCUGGCUAGAACGGAUCCGACGGUGAGGGACGAAGCCCUGGGUCGCAAACGGGAUUAGAUACCCCGGUAGUCCAGGGUGUAAACGCUGCCGACUUGGUGUUGGGGGCCCUUCGUGGGAACUCAGUGCCGGAGAGAAGUUGUUAAGUCGGCCACUUGGGGAGUACGUCCGCAAGGAUGAAACUUAAAGGAAUUGGCGGGGGAGCAC